GACGAACGCUGGCGGCGUGCUUAACACAUGCAAGUCGAACGGAAAGGCCCUGCUUUUGUGGGGUGCUCGAGUGGCGAACGGGUGAGUAACACGUGAGUAACCUGCCCUUGACUUUGGGAUAACUUCAGGAAACUGGGGCUAAUACCGGAUAGGAGCUCCUGCUGCAUGGUGGGGGUUGGAAAGUUUCGGCGGUUGGGGAUGGACUCGCGGCUUAUCAGCUUGUUGGUGGGGUAGUGGCUUACCAAGGCUUUGACGGGUAGCCGGCCUGAGAGGGUGACCGGCCACAUUGGGACUGAGAUACGGCCCAGACUCCUACGGGAGGCAGCAGUGGGGAAUAUUGCACAGUGGGCGGAAGCCUGAUGCAGCAACGCCGCGUGCGGGAUGACGGCCUUCGGGUUGUAAACCGCUUUCGCCUGUGACGAAGCGUGGGUGACGGUAAUGGGUAAAGAAGCACCGGCUAACUACGUG
This 468-nucleotide ribosomal RNA is filed under the name uncultured bacterium. RNAcentral's name for it is "partial 16S ribosomal RNA". It matches the Rfam family "Bacterial small subunit ribosomal RNA", at positions 28 to 507 of the family's 1533-position model. The record is from RNAcentral.